AACGCACAUUGCGCCCUUUGGUAUUCCGAAGGGCAUGCCUAUUCGAGCGUCAUUAUCAACCCUCAAGCUCGGCUUGUUAUUGGGUCCCUUAUCGUUAAAGAUAGGCCCGAAAGAUAAUGGCGGCGUCGUGAACGACCCCAGGUGCAGCGAGCUUAUAGCAUACACUGAGGUGGUCUUUGCGUCCCGGUCCUUUUUUAGUUAUAAACUAUAAUUCUAAGGUUGACCUCGGAUUAGGUAGGAAUACCCGCUGAACUUAA
Molecule: unclassified non-coding RNA, 257 nt
Filed under: uncultured fungus
Lineage: Eukaryota; Fungi
Description: partial contains 5.8S ribosomal RNA, internal transcribed spacer 2, and large subunit ribosomal RNA
Source: RNAcentral